CGCGAGUAUUCAGAGUUUGAUCCUGGCUCAGAGCGAACGCUGGCGGCAGGCUUAACACAUGCAAGUCGAACGGGCGUAGCAAUACGUCAGUGGCAGACGGGUGAGUAACGCGUGGGAACGUACCUUUUGGUUCGGAACAACACAGGGAAACUUGUGCUAAUACCGGAUAAGCCCUUACGGGGAAAGAUUUAUCGCCGAAAGAUCGGCCCGCGUCUGAUUAGCUAGUUGGUGAGGUAACGGCUCACCAAGGCGACGAGCAGUAGCUGGUCUGAGAGGAUGAUCAGCCACAUUGGGACUGAGACACGGCCCAA
Molecule: ribosomal RNA, 311 nt
Filed under: uncultured bacterium
Lineage: Bacteria
Description: bacterial SSU rRNA
Rfam family: Bacterial small subunit ribosomal RNA
Source: RNAcentral